CCUACGGGUGGCAGCAGUGGGGAAUAUUGGACAAUGGGCGAAAGCCUGAUCCAGCCAUGCCGCGUGUGUGAAGAAGGCCUUCGGGUUGUAAAGCACUUUCAGUGGGGAAGAAAGCCUUGGGGCUAAUACCCUCGAGGAAGGACAUCACCCACAGAAGAAGCACCGGCUAACUCCGUGCCAGCAGCCGCGGUAAUACGGAGGGUGCGAGCGUUAAUCGGAAUUACUGGGCGUAAAGCGCGCGUAGGCGGUCUGAUAAGCCGGUUGUGAAAGCCCCGGGCUCAACCUGGGAACGGCAUCCGGAACUAUCAGGCUAGAGUGCAGGAGAGGAAGGUAGAAUUCCCGGUGUAGCGGUGAAAUGCGUAGAGAUCGGGAGGAAUACCAGUGGCGAAGGCGGCCUUCUGGACUGACACUGACGCUGAGGUGCGAAAGCGUGGGUAGCAAACAGGAUUAGAUACCCCAGUAGUC
This 465-nucleotide ribosomal RNA is filed under the name Vreelandella stevensii. RNAcentral describes it as "partial 16S ribosomal RNA". It matches the Rfam family "Bacterial small subunit ribosomal RNA", at positions 338 to 795 of the family's 1533-position model. The record is from RNAcentral. Lineage: Bacteria; Pseudomonadati; Pseudomonadota; Gammaproteobacteria; Oceanospirillales; Halomonadaceae.